UCAAAACCUUGAUAUAGCUCUUUUUCUAUUAACAUGUGGUAUUACUCAAUAUACCCCAGGAUGGAAAUAUAUCUGAUAUUACUCAAAGAGUAGGCGAUGACAGAUACUCACUACAGUAAUCACCCUGUAAAAUAUCUACAAAAAUGGCCAUAUCUACAUGCAUCGGCGCAUUUGUCAUGCAAUGUGACAUGAAAUACCUAAGCAAGGUUUGGUACGAUAGAAACCAAAAGCAGGCCAUAGUAUUAGUCCCAGAUAACUUAUGUACACUGUUUUUCAUACUGCACAAUAGUAAACUACAUGAUUGACUAUUGGAUAUAUAACUUUGUCCACACGCCUUCAUCUGAUUUGCUCGAUAUAUAACUUUGUCCACACUAAUUCAUUUGAUUUGCUUGCAUGUUGUGACACACGGAUCUGCUAAAGGACAUAUCUUGUUAGGCAAACUGUUCAAACAGUGCGUCUCAUGGACAGGGAGAAAAUAAUUGGGUCUAUAUGAAGGAGAAUCACUCUGGAUAAUAUACAAUGACCUGGAUACAGUGUAGCCUCUUUAACAUAAAAGAAUAUAAAAGAUAAAAUUAAAAUUAUUUUAGUAUUCUACAUGGCCUACAAUAUGCAAAGGUGAGUCUGGUUAUCAUUCAGUAAGUUAACAAAAAUAUAAGCUCAGUUGGCAACUCUCUCUGAACAAAUCAUGCAGCAAUAAUAGUGACAACAAAGCAAUUAACUACAUGAAGGUCAUAUAAAAAACAGAGUUUAAAUCAUCACACUGUCUGGAUCAAAAUAUUACUACUCAUUUACUACUAUCUCUAAGCAUCUACAAACCCUAUAUCAGUGUUUACAUCUGUGAGUACUUCCUUUGAUUACAAAAAUUACGGAGUCACACUGAUCAUUUUUUUGCAGCAGUCCAGUAAAACCAAAGAGGGGACAUGACGUAUAUCAGCUGACCUAUGCAAGUGCUCGGAGAUGGCUGUUAGUGGAACCAGCUGAACCUAGCAAGCCAUGAACCUAGAUCUCUUCGUCAGCCAUCGCGACCUAAACAGAUCCAAGAAAUUUCACAGAGUAGCUCAAAGCUCGACGCAUAACUUUGGCAAAAACGAAUGGACCAAAAACACAGAGUCUGAUAGAUAAAAAAUAGAGCAAGUCAUUUAUAUACAAAGCAAGACACUCACAGGUCAUUCAUAAUAGUUAGAUCAAGUCAUUUGUACAGAAAAAUCUGAAGGUUGAGUAGUGCAUUAGAGGGUAGCCGCAUAGUGCAGGAAACAUACAUUAGAGGGUAGCCGCGCAGUGCAGAAAACAUAUCCCACUGCUAUGGACAGAAGUGUAGAACAUCACAAUCCACUCAUUUUGUUCUGUGAGUACAUCCUUCAACGAUAAAAGUAUCUACAAAUUCCAAGGUGGUCCAACAUGAUAUAAAGUGUGGUCAACUUGAGUCGUCAAAAAUGAUUUAGAGACAACAUAAGUGGUUGAAAUAUAUAUAAGAAACAAAAAAAGUACAUGCGAACGACA
Molecule: long non-coding RNA, 1500 nt
Filed under: Triticum aestivum (bread wheat)
Lineage: Eukaryota; Viridiplantae; Streptophyta; Magnoliopsida; Poales; Poaceae
Description: long non-coding RNA (TAES_LNC002890)
Source: RNAcentral